RNAcentral lists this ribosomal RNA (442 nucleotides) under uncultured bacterium. RNAcentral's name for it is "partial 16S ribosomal RNA". It matches the Rfam family "Bacterial small subunit ribosomal RNA", at positions 338 to 795 of the family's 1533-position model. The record is from RNAcentral.
CCUACGGGAGGCAGCAGUGGGGGAUAUUGCUCAAUGGGGGAAACCCUGAUGCAGCGACGCCGCGUGGGCGAAGAAGUACUUCGGUAUGUAAAGCCCUAUUAGCAGGGAAGAAGAAAUGACGGUACCUGAGUAAGAAGCAUAGGCUAAAUACGUGCCAGCAGUCGCGGUAAUACGUAUGGUGCAAGCGUUAUCCGGAUUUACUUGGUGUAAAGGGAGCGCAGGUGGCACGGCAAGGCUGAUGUGAAAUCCCGCGGCCCAACCGCGGGACUGCAUUGGAAACUACCGGGCUGGAGUGCCGGAGAGGUAGGCGGAAUGCCUAGUGUAGCGGUGAAAUGCGUAGAUAUUAGGAAGAACACCAGUGGCGAAGGCGGAUUACUGGACGACAACUGACGGUGAGGCGCGAAAGCGUGGGGAGCAAACAGGAUUAGAUACCCGGGUAGUC